This 232-nucleotide ribosomal RNA is filed under the name uncultured bacterium. RNAcentral's name for it is "partial 16S ribosomal RNA". It matches the Rfam family "Bacterial small subunit ribosomal RNA", at positions 118 to 350 of the family's 1533-position model. The record is from RNAcentral.
UGGGCAACCUGCCCCUCUCUCUGGGAUAACCCCGGGAAACCGGAGCUAAUACCGGAUACUCCGGCUGGAUCGCAUGGUCCGGCCGGGAAAGGUCCGCCGGAGAGGGAUGGGCCCGCGGCCUAUCAGCUUGUUGGUGAGGUCACGGCUCACCAAGGCUACGACGGGUAGCUGGUCUGAGAGGGCGACCGGCCACACUGGGACUGAGAUACGGCCCAGACUCCUACGGGAGGCA